CGACUAUCGGCGCCUGUGUCCCUUCGAUAAUUGGCUGUUGCGCCUGACCCUAUUAUGAGUGCUUGCAGUGCUGCUACCAGUCAUAUUGGAAGUUGCCUUUGAAAUAUGUUGCGGACGUCAUGCAUGCCCUAGGGUGUUGCAUGUCGACAUGAAAGCAUUCACAGCGUUGCCUCGUUCAGCAAGCCGUUUAGGCUGCUGACACCAAGGACACCUUGUGGAUGCUAUUGGUCUCGGAUGUGGCUAACUAAAAAGGCCGAUGGUGCUUCGGCGCCUUGUGCCUAGAAAAGAAUGUCCAGUCGGAAAAACGACAGUUGGCCUAGCUGAUGCCUUGUGCUAAGGUUGGAGCUACUUGUCGAUGAGGACGUGCUACCUGGUUGAUCCUGCCAGUAG
RNAcentral lists this unclassified non-coding RNA (390 nucleotides) under Axonopus fastigiatus. RNAcentral's name for it is "partial external transcribed spacer". Lineage: Eukaryota; Viridiplantae; Streptophyta; Magnoliopsida; Poales; Poaceae. The record is from RNAcentral.